AGUCUACAAGAAAUUAAUCAUUAGAAUAGUCUAAUAAACAAGACUAAUACAUAUAGAGGCAGAAGAUACAAUAUUGUGAUUUUCUAGAAAACCCAUUUCUCAAUCAAUCGAAAAUCCAUUAUUCCUCAAUAUAAAAACACCGUUAAUCUUUGAUUUUUUUACUUUGUUCUUCUUCUUCAUCUUUUUAAAUCAAUUGCCCAUUAGUAAAGAGGGGCAGAGGGCGGCUAGGCCUGACCUCGAUACAACACACAACCAUUAGUGAUAUCAAUCAUAAGUGAUAUCACCCCACCAGAAGGUAUAAAUAAUUAUAUUGCCUUCUGGUACAUACAUAAAUCUAUGCUAACUAACAAAGAAGUUGGAUUUGUCAUAUUUACAUCUAAGACUAGGCAUCAUCCAUUUAUCUAAUUGGAUGCAGCCUCUAGCCUGUCUAGGAAGAUGAGAAAGGGACUGAGUGAUAAGAAUCUGCGUAGAGGUGGAAGCCAAUUUGGCUAACCAGUGAGCAACUUGAUUCCCCUCCCGAAAAUAGUGAGUUACUUGAAUCCCUAUUCUAUUCUUGAUACUUUUGAUGUUGUCCACAACUGUUUUCACUUCAUAUUAGUGACAAGAUUGUUGUUCAGCUUGUUGGUUAUAGUUGUGGAGUCUAGUUCGAGAGUGAAAUUAGUGUAUCCUUGAUAUUCACAACGCCUCUGCCAUAUUACUGCUACUACAACGGAACGAAAUG
RNAcentral lists this long non-coding RNA (721 nucleotides) under Capsicum annuum. RNAcentral describes it as "long non-coding RNA (CANN_LNC016188)". Lineage: Eukaryota; Viridiplantae; Streptophyta; Magnoliopsida; Solanales; Solanaceae. The record is from RNAcentral.